Molecule: small nucleolar RNA, 99 nt
Filed under: Echinops telfairi (small Madagascar hedgehog)
Lineage: Eukaryota; Metazoa; Chordata; Mammalia; Afrosoricida; Tenrecidae
Description: Small nucleolar RNA SNORA5 (ENSETEG00000022666.1)
Rfam family: Small nucleolar RNA SNORA5
About the family: ACA5 is a member of the H/ACA class of snoRNA that guide the sites of modification of uridines to pseudouridines.
Source: RNAcentral
GGCUGGCACUGGCCCAAAAGGCUGCCACAGAGACACUGUAACUCAUGGGCCCUGUUCCUCUCUGCUGAGCCUCAGGGAUAAAUUUUGUUACAGACAUUG